AAUAGAUAACGCCGUUGACUUUUUCUUAUAUGUUUGACCAUUCGUCUUAUUCAAAAAAUUUACAUUUAUAAGUUGUUUUAUCACUCAUAGUACUUUAAGUGUGAUUUAUAUCUUAUACAUUUGCAUAAAAUUUUUAAAUAAGACGAAUGGUUAAACAUGUGAGAAAAAGUCAACGGCGUCAUCUAUU
Molecule: microRNA precursor, 187 nt
Filed under: Oryza nivara
Lineage: Eukaryota; Viridiplantae; Streptophyta; Magnoliopsida; Poales; Poaceae
Description: MIR812 microRNA precursor family
Rfam family: MIR812 microRNA precursor family
Source: Rfam by way of RNAcentral